Felis catus (domestic cat) is the source of this 747-nucleotide long non-coding RNA. RefSeq lists it as uncharacterized. Lineage: Eukaryota; Metazoa; Chordata; Mammalia; Carnivora; Felidae. The record is from RefSeq and is a predicted model, not a curated record. The transcript has 2 exons.
UCAGUAUGCUCAUAUUUGGUGGCUAGCAUUUAAAUGAUUUACUCUAAUUUCCUGUUUAACUGUUCCCUAGGCCUUAAUUCACCUGGGUACUAUUUAAAUGUGGUCAGUGUGAAAGCAAGGUGUCCUCUCCCCCUCAUCCUUGCCCCUCCCCUAAAGAAAGGAAAACCUUCCUAGGAAGACUAAGAAAUGUGAAUCUUCUUUUAGGUCUUACCAAUUCAUUUAUGGAGCCACCUGGUGUGUUUUGCAAACCCCUCUUUCCAGCCACUUGCAACAGCAAAUCCCUCCAUCCUGGCAAGACUAAUACCUGCAGGUACCUGUCACCCAGAAUAAGUGAGUUGAGGCCAGUUCUUUCCCUCCCCAGGAUUACAAGGGGCAGCUGGCAUUGGAGGAAGUCACAUGGCUUGGGACCAUGGCUGCAAGGAAGGCCCAAGGUGCAGGUGCCAUCUGGCUAGCCGGUUGCCCCCACCCAGCAAGGGCCCACCCAGUCCUGCCCCAUCGUCUUUCGGAAGGAAGGUCUCGUGUUUGACAGCGCCUCCCCCAGUCGGCCCCCUCCUGAAAACCAGCGAUCCCUUUCUCUUGCCAGACUCGAAGUUCCUUGAGAGUAGGAACACUAUCAGUUCUGAUUCACCUUGGUGUAUCCCCGGGGCUUGGAACAUACAAGCCUUUGAGAUAUCUCAGUCAAGUGAAUGAAUGGACAGUUAAAAGUAUUGAGACAUCAAGGUGAUUAAACCGAUUCUCAGCUGGGAA